ACCUGAUCCAGCAACGCCGCGUGGAGGACGAAGGUCUUCGGAUCGUAAACUCCUGUCAGACGGGACGAAGGUUUCAGGGUAAAUAAUCCUGGAACUUGACGGUACUGUCAGAGGGAGCCCCGGCUAACUCCGUGCCAGCAGCCGCGGUAAUACGAGGGGGCGAGCGUUAUUCGGAAUUAUUGGGCUAAAGGGCGCGUAGGCGGCUUGCCAAGUCAAAGGUGAAAUCCCUCGGCUCAACUGAGGAACUGCCUUUGAAACUGUCAGGCUUGAGUCCGGGAGGGGGUAGCGGAAUUCCCAGUGUAGCGGUGAAAUGCGUAGAUAUUGGGAGGAACACCAGUGGCGAAGGCGGCUACCUGGACCGGAUCUGACGCUGAUGCGCGAAAGCGUGGGUAGCAAACAGGAUUAGAUACCCUGGUAGUCCACGCUGUAAACGAUGGGUGCUCGGUGUCGCGGGUAUCGACCCCUGCGGUGCCUUAGCCAACGCGUUAAGCACCCCGCCUGGGGAGUACGGUCGCAAGGCUG
Molecule: ribosomal RNA, 522 nt
Filed under: uncultured Acidobacteriota bacterium
Lineage: Bacteria; Pseudomonadati; Acidobacteriota
Description: bacterial SSU rRNA
Rfam family: Bacterial small subunit ribosomal RNA
Source: RNAcentral